RNAcentral lists this ribosomal RNA (271 nucleotides) under uncultured bacterium. RNAcentral describes it as "partial 16S ribosomal RNA". It matches the Rfam family "Bacterial small subunit ribosomal RNA", at positions 524 to 794 of the family's 1533-position model. The record is from RNAcentral.
UACGUAGGAUGCAAGCGUUGUCCGGAAUUAUUGGGCGUAAAGAGAACGUAGGUGGCUUGUUAAGUUCGGUCUUAAAGACCGGGGCUCAACCGCAAGAUUGCAUCUGAUACUGGAUUUCUUGAGGGUAUGAGAGGAAAGCGGAAUUCCUAGUGUAGCGGUGAAAUGCGUAGAUAUUAGGAGGAACACCAGUGGCGAAGGCGGCUUUCUGGCAUACAACUGACGCUGAGAUGCGAAAGCGUGGGGAGCAAACAGGAUUAGAUACCCCGGUAGU